CUACGGGGUACACCAGUGAGGAAUAUUGCACAAUGGGGGGAACCCUGAUGCAGCAACGCCGCGUGGAGGAUGACGCAUUUCGGUGUGUAAACUCCCUUUAUAUGUCAAGAAAAUGACGGUAGCAUAUGAAUAAGCACCGGCUAACUCCGUGCCAGCAGCCGCGGUAAUACGGAGGGUGCAAGCGUUACUCGGAAUCACUGGGCGUAAAGGACGCGUAGGCGGGUUGGAAAGUCAGGUGUGAAAUCCUACAGCUUAACUGUAGAACUGCACUUGAAACUUCUAAUCUAGAGUAUGGGAGGGGGAGAUGGAAUUAGUGGUGUAGGGGUAAAAUCCGUAGAUAUCACUAGGAAUACCUAAAGCGAAGGCGAUCUCCUGGAACAUUACUGACGCUAAGGCGUGAAAGCGUGGGGAGCAAACAGAAUUAGAUACCCCGGUAGUC
RNAcentral lists this ribosomal RNA (439 nucleotides) under uncultured bacterium. RNAcentral describes it as "partial 16S ribosomal RNA". It matches the Rfam family "Bacterial small subunit ribosomal RNA", at positions 339 to 795 of the family's 1533-position model. The record is from RNAcentral.